Molecule: ribosomal RNA, 484 nt
Filed under: uncultured bacterium
Lineage: Bacteria
Description: bacterial SSU rRNA
Rfam family: Bacterial small subunit ribosomal RNA
Source: RNAcentral
ACUAAACGCUGGCGGCGUGCCUAACACAUGCAAGUCGUACGAGAAAGUUGGCUUCGGCCGAUGAGUACAGUGGCGCACGGGUGAGUAACGCGUGGAUAAUCUGCCCUUAAGUGUGGAAUAACGUACCGAAAGGUGCGCUAAUACCGCAUAAUGCCUGGCAACAUAAGUUGUCCGGCCAAAGAAGGCCUCUGCUUGCAAGCUUUCGCUAAAGGAUGAGUCCGCGUACCAUUAGCUAGUUGGUGGGGUAACGGCCUACCAAGGCGACGAUGGUUAGCUGGUCUGAGAGGAUGAUCAGCCACACUGGAACUGAGACACGGUCCAGACUCCUACGGGAGGCAGCAGUGAGGAAUAUUGCGCAAUGGGGGCAACCCGUGACGCAGCAACGCCGCGUGAGUGAGGAAGGUUUUCGGACUGUAAAGCUACUGUCGAGCGGGAAGAAGUGUACCAUGACUAAUAUCCAUGAUAUUUGACGGUACCGCUAGAA